GAGUUUGAUCCUGGCUCAGGAUGAACGCUAGCGGGAGGCUUAACACAUGCAAGUCGAGGGGUAUAAGUAGCAAUAUUUAGAGACCGGCGCACGGGUGAGUAACGCGUAUGCAACCUGCCCUUUACUAGGGGAUAGCCCGUAGAAAUGCGGAUUAAUACCCCAUAGUACUGUUAGACCGCAUGGUUUGACAGUUAAAGUUUCGGCGGUAAAGGAUGGGCAUGCGUGACAUUAGCUAGUUGGAGAGGUAACGGCUCACCAAGGCUACGAUGUCUAGGGGUUCUGAGAGGAAGAUCCCCCACACUGGUACUGAGACACGGACCAGACUCCUACGGGAGGCAGCAGUGAGGAAUAUUGGUCAAUGGGCGGGAGCCUGAACCAGCCAUCCCGCGUGCAGGAAGAAUGCCCUAUGGGUUGUAAACUGCCUUUUCGCAUGAAGAACAUUCCGCUCGUGAGCGGAACUGACGGUAAUGCGUGAAUAAGCACCGGCUAACUCCGUGCCAGCAGCCGCGGUAAUACGGAGGGUGCAAGCGUUAUCCGGAUUUAUUGGGUUUAAAGGGUGCGUAGGCGGUGAUUUAAGUCAGUGGUGAAAUCCUGCAGCUCAACUGUAGAACAGCCAUUGAAACUGAAUUACUUGAGUAAUCUUGAGGUAGGCGGAAUGUGUAGUGUAGCGGUGAAAUGCUUAGAUAUUACACAGAACACCGAUUGCGAAGGCAGCUUACUAAGGAUUUACUGACGCUGAUGCACGAAAGCGUGGGGAUCAAACAGGAUUAGAUACCCUGGUAGUCCACGCCGUAAACGAUGAUAACUCGCUGUUGG
This 816-nucleotide ribosomal RNA is filed under the name uncultured bacterium. RNAcentral describes it as "bacterial SSU rRNA". It matches the Rfam family "Bacterial small subunit ribosomal RNA", at positions 9 to 826 of the family's 1533-position model. The record is from RNAcentral.